CCUACGGGUGGCAGCAGUGAGGAAUAUUUGUCAAUGGACGGAAGUCUGAUCCAGCGAUGCCGCGUGCAGGAAGACGGCUCUAUGAGUUGUAAACUGCUUUUGUACAAGGGUAAACCUGAAUACGUGUAUUCAGCUGAAAGUACUGUACGAAUAAGGAUCGGCUAACUCCGUGCCAGCAGCCGCGGUAAGACGGAGGAUCCAAGCGUUAUCCGGAUUUCUUGGGUUUCACGGGUGCGUAGGCGGAUGGAUAAGUUAGAGGUGAAAUGUCCGAGCUUAACUCGGGAACUGCCUAUAAUACUGUUGAUCUAGAGAGUAGGUGGGGUAGGCGGAAUGUAUGGGGUAGCGGUGAAAUGCUUAGAGAUCAUACAGAACACCGAUUGCGAAGGCAGCUUACCAAUCUAUAUCUGACGUUGAGGCACGAAAGCGUGGGGAGCAAACAGGAUUAGAUACCCUAGUAGUC
Molecule: ribosomal RNA, 460 nt
Filed under: uncultured bacterium
Lineage: Bacteria
Description: partial 16S ribosomal RNA
Rfam family: Bacterial small subunit ribosomal RNA
Source: RNAcentral